GGAAAGCUCUUAGCUCAGCAGUAGAGCGUUUCCUUGCAUGGAGAAGGUCCCAGGUUCAAUCCCUGGCAUCUCCA
Molecule: non-coding RNA, 74 nt
Organism: Podarcis lilfordi (Lilford's wall lizard)
Lineage: Eukaryota; Metazoa; Chordata; Lepidosauria; Squamata; Lacertidae
Source: the annotation of a GenBank genome assembly